UGCUGCUGGCGCUCGCGCUGG
Molecule: unclassified non-coding RNA, 21 nt
Filed under: Chlamydomonas reinhardtii
Lineage: Eukaryota; Viridiplantae; Chlorophyta; Chlorophyceae; Chlamydomonadales; Chlamydomonadaceae
Description: small RNA Cre_3189
Source: RNAcentral